GAUGAACGCUGGCGGCGUGCUUAACACAUGCAAGUCGAACGGAAAGGCCCAAGCUUGCUUGGGUACUCGAGUGGCGAACGGGUGAGUAACACGUGGGUGAUCUGCCCUGCACUUCGGGAUAAGCCUGGGAAACUGGGUCUAAUACCGGAUAGGACGAUGGUUUGGAUGCCAUUGUGGAAAGUUUUUUCGGUGUGGGAUGAGCUCGCGGCCUAUCAGCUUGUUGGUGGGGUAAUGGCCUACCAAGGCGUCGACGGGUAGCCGGCCUGAGAGGGUGUACGGCCACAUUGGGACUGAGAUACGGACCAGACUCCUACGGGAGGCAGCAGUGGGGAAUAUUGCACAAUGGGAGCAAGCCUGAUGCAGCGACGCCGCGUGGGGGAUGACGGCCUUCGGGUUGUAAACUCCUUUCGCUAGGGACGAAGCGUUUUUGUGACGGUACCUGGAGAAGAAGCACCGGCUAACUACGUG
This 468-nucleotide ribosomal RNA is filed under the name uncultured bacterium. Its description in RNAcentral is "partial 16S ribosomal RNA". It matches the Rfam family "Bacterial small subunit ribosomal RNA", at positions 28 to 507 of the family's 1533-position model. The record is from RNAcentral.